This 305-nucleotide ribosomal RNA is filed under the name uncultured bacterium. Its description in RNAcentral is "bacterial SSU rRNA". It matches the Rfam family "Bacterial small subunit ribosomal RNA", at positions 335 to 658 of the family's 1533-position model. The record is from RNAcentral.
UAUCCUACGGGACGCAGCAGUCGGGAAUAUUGCGCAAUGGAGGAAACUCUGACGCAGUGACGCCGCGUAUAGGAAGAAGGUUUUCGGAUUGUAAACUAUUGUCGUGAGGGAAGAAGAUGACAGUACCUCAGGAGGAAGCUCCGGCUAACUAUGUGCCAGCAGCCGCGGUAAUACAUAGGGAGCAAGCGUUAUCCGGAUUUAUUGGGUUUAAAGGGUGCGUAGGCGGAUUUUUAAGUCAGCGGUAAAAUGUCCGGGCUCAACCCGGGCCGGCCGUUGAAACUGGGGAUCUUGAGUGGGCGAGAAGU